UAGCGGCGAGUGAAGCGGCAAGAGCUCAGAUUUGAAAUCGUGCUAAUUUUUUUGGCACGAGUUGUAGAGUGUAGGCGGGAGUCUUUGUGGAGCACGGUGUCCAAGUCCCUUGGAACAGGGCGCCUGAGAGGGUGAGAGCCCCGUGGGGUGCCGUGCGAAGCUCUGAGGCCCUGCUGACGAGUCGAGUUGUUUGGGAAUGCAGCUCCAAGUGGGUGGUAAAUUCCAUCUAAGGCUAAAUACUGGCGAGAGACCGAUAGCGAACAAGUACUGUGAAGGAAAGAUGAAAAGCACUUUGAAAAGAGAGUGAAACAGCACGUGAAAUUGUUGAAAGGGAAGGGUAUUGGGCCCGACAUGGGGAGUGCGCACCGCUGUCUCUUGUAGGCGGCGCUCUGGGCGCUCUCUGGGCCAGCAUCGGUUCUAGCUGCGGGAGAAUGGGUGCCGGAAAGUGGCU
RNAcentral lists this ribosomal RNA (451 nucleotides) under Pichia membranifaciens. RNAcentral's name for it is "eukaryotic LSU rRNA". It matches the Rfam family "Eukaryotic large subunit ribosomal RNA", at positions 84 to 541 of the family's 3401-position model. Lineage: Eukaryota; Fungi; Ascomycota; Pichiomycetes; Pichiales; Pichiaceae. The record is from RNAcentral.